RNAcentral lists this ribosomal RNA (301 nucleotides) under uncultured bacterium. RNAcentral describes it as "partial 16S ribosomal RNA". It matches the Rfam family "Bacterial small subunit ribosomal RNA", at positions 509 to 809 of the family's 1533-position model. The record is from RNAcentral.
CAGUCGCCACGGGAAUACGGAGGGUGCAAGCGUUAAUCGGAAUUACUGGGCGUAAAGCGCACGCAGACGGUUUGUUAAGUCAGAUGUGAAAUCCCCGAGCUUAACUUGGGAACUGCAUUUGAAACUGGCAAGCUAGAGUCUUGUAGAGGGGGGUAGAAUUCCAGGUGUAGCGGUGAAAUGCGUAGAGAUCUGGAGGAAUACCGGUGGCGAAGGCGGCCCCCUGGACAAAGACUGACGCUCAGGUGCGAAAGCGUGGGGAGCAAACAGGAUUAGAUACCCGGGUAGUCCCUGUCUCUUAUAA